CUCUUGGGGUCUCUCUCUCCCAUUUGAGUCCCAAGGCUCCUGAUUCCCCACUGUUCUACUCAUUCUCUCCUUAAGUCCCUCUCUCCAUUUCGGUUGUACAGUUGCAGGUGAUUUGAUCUGCGAAUUGAUAUCGAAGGAGGGUCGGAAUGUCGGUCGUGACGGCUGCCAAGCGGCUGGUGCCAUUGCUGGACAGAGUGUUGGUUGAGAAAAUUGUGCCACCAACAGUCUCCGCUGCUGGCAUUCUUCUUCCGGAGACCACCACAAAGGUGAACUCAGGUAUUGUUAUUUCAACUGGUCCUGGUAUGAAGACAAAAGACGGCACACUCAUCCCUUGCGAUGUAAAGACCGGCGACACUGUUCUGCUUCCAGAAUACGACGGAACUCCAGUUAAAUUGAAAGGCGAGGAAGGCAAAGAGUUUUUGUUGUACCGCAACGAUGACCUUCUAGGAAUUUUGGAAGAUUGAUGCUUUCGCAAGGAGCUCGAAAUUGAUGAUCCGUGCCGUUGGAGCUUUAGCGAACUAGCCGAUGCUAACUGCAUGCACCACUAAACGAUAAAACAAUGGAACGGCACUACGAUUGUGCUACUAUCGAAAAAUCAUCAAUGUGACGGAAGUGGAAGUCGUGUUUAACUUCUCUGGUUCAACGACUGAGGGAAGCACCCAUCCAGCCCACCAAAUGUCUCGCAAGCAGCAUGGAAUCUACCUUUGCCGAAAAACUCGAGCACGAAAGGGUCUGUCGAACUCUGCUUCAAUAUCAAGGUUCCCGAACUCCACCAACUCCUUCAGCGAUUUGGGUCGCAGAUCCUCUUUGAUGAAGACAUCGAUUACUGAGACUCAGAAAAAUACAGCUGCUUAGAUUUGAUCACGACUCAAUGGACACUGGUGUAGCUUUUCUUCGUUCAAAAAGCAGUAGCGAGUACACAAACUGCUACGAUGUCAACUAUUCAGCUGUGUUCAACACUGCAGUUGAAAUUGUGACUAGUUGAUGAAAGUCUAAGGGACCUCCGUAGAAUUAGAUUGUAGACGCUUGUGAGGUUUACAUUUGUUGAAGUUAGGAGUCAUCCUCUAGAUACUUGAGCAAUGUCUAUGAUUAAUUUCCAUCAAGUAAGCUGUUGAACUGAAGCGCAAAUAAGACAUUAGAAUGAAUUGCAGUUUGGCAGUUUACUCA
Molecule: RNA transcript, 1167 nt
Organism: Physcomitrium patens
Lineage: Eukaryota; Viridiplantae; Streptophyta; Bryopsida; Funariales; Funariaceae
Gene name: 10 kDa chaperonin, mitochondrial
Source: RefSeq, a predicted model, not a curated record